Molecule: ribosomal RNA, 284 nt
Filed under: uncultured bacterium
Lineage: Bacteria
Description: partial 16S ribosomal RNA
Rfam family: Bacterial small subunit ribosomal RNA
Source: RNAcentral
GAUGAACGCUAGCGGCAGGCCUAACACAUGCAAGUCGAGGGGUAACAUUGGUGCUUGCACCAGAUGACGACCGGCGCACGGGUGCGUAACGCGUAUACAAUCUGCCUUGUACUGGGGGAUAGCCUUUAGAAAUGAAGAUUAACACCCCAUAGUAUUAUAGAUUCGCAUGAUGAAAUAAUUAAAGGUUACGGUACAAGAUGAGUAUGCGUCCUAUUAGCUAGAUGGAGUGGUAACGGCACCCCAUGGCGACGAUAGGUAGGGGCCCUGAGAGGGGGAUCCCCCAC